RNAcentral lists this ribosomal RNA (449 nucleotides) under uncultured bacterium. Its description in RNAcentral is "partial 16S ribosomal RNA". It matches the Rfam family "Bacterial small subunit ribosomal RNA", at positions 28 to 523 of the family's 1533-position model. The record is from RNAcentral.
GACGAACGCUGGCGGCAGGCUUAACACGUGCAAGUCGAACGCAUCCUUCGGGGUGAGUGGCAGACGGGUGAGUAACGCGUGGGAACGUGCCCUUCAGUUCGGGAUAACCCAGGGAAACUUGGGCUAAUACCGGAUACGUGCGAGAGCAGAAAGAUUUAUCGCUGGAGGAUCGGCCCGCGUCUGAUUAGCUAGUUGGUGGGGUAAUGGCCCACCAAGGCGACGAUCAGUAGCUGGUCUGAGAGGAUGAUCAGCCACAUUGGGACUGAGACACGGCCCAAACUCCUACGGGAGGCAGCAGUGGGGAAUAUUGGACAAUGGGCGCAAGCCUGAUCCAGCCAUGCCGCGUGAGUGAUGAAGGCCUUAGGGUUGUAAAGCUCUUUCGUCCGGGACAAUAAUGACGGUACCGGAAGAAGAAGCCCCGGCUAACUUCGUGCCAGCCGCCGCCGUAA